RNAcentral lists this ribosomal RNA (574 nucleotides) under Nephroma arcticum. Its description in RNAcentral is "eukaryotic LSU rRNA". The stretch from base 232 to 386 matches the Rfam family "5.8S ribosomal RNA". Lineage: Eukaryota; Fungi; Ascomycota; Lecanoromycetes; Peltigerales; Nephromataceae. The record is from RNAcentral.
AAGUCGUAACAAGGUUUCCGUAGGUGAACCUGCGGAAGGAUCAUUAAUGCGAAAAAAAUAGGGUCGGGUCGGAACUGCGCCCGAGAACAAGAUCCGGGACCGAUGACCCGGCCCUAUCAUUGUACCACCCGUGCGUACUCAACGAUAAAUUGCCUUGACAGGCAUGUCGACCCGUCAGGGAGCCUAAAACUCGAUUGAUACGGUGACGUCUGAGUGAUACAGAAUAACUAAAACUUUCAACAACGGAUCUCUUGGUUCUGGCAUCGAUGAAGAACGCAGCGAAAUGCGAUAAGUAAUGUGAAUUGCAGAAUUCAGUGAAUCAUCGAAUCUUUGAACGCACAUUGCGCCUUCUGGAAAUUCCGAAAGGCAUACCUGUUCGAGCGUCAUUCAAACCCUCAAGCUAGGCUUGAUGUUGGGCGAUCGCCCUCCGGGACGUGCCUGAAAUACAGUGACGGUCCGGGUGAUUUCAAGCGCAAUACCGUAUCUGUUCGCUUUGGAAUAUCACCUGAGAUCCGAUCAACCCAAACUUUCCACAAUUGACCUCGGAUCAGAUAGGGAUACCCGCUGAACUUAA